Molecule: long non-coding RNA, 1764 nt
Filed under: Homo sapiens (human)
Lineage: Eukaryota; Metazoa; Chordata; Mammalia; Primates; Hominidae
Description: HSALNT0125291
Source: RNAcentral
GCACCCUACCUUGUCCUCUGUGAAGGAGGCCACCCAAACUGUCUCACUGGUUCUAGGUACACAAAACCCAAAUCUGAGAAAUCCACUAGAUUGGCAGGUAGGAUGGAAUAAUUUAUUAUUAUUAUUAUUUUAAAGACAAGGUCUUGCUCUGUUGCUCAGGCUGGAGUGCAGUGGUACAAUCAUAGAUUACUGCAGCCAAAAACUCUUGGCUUCAAGCGAUCCUCCUGCCUGGGCCUCUGAAGUACUGGGAUUACAGGUGUGAGCCACUGUGCCCAGCCUGGAGUGAUUUAAAAACUGUUUUCAAAUCAACAUUUUGAAAUAGUACUGUAUUUUAGCUUUCGGAAUUCUAAACUUUGCUAGAUCCGACAAGCUCAGUUUUCUUGAAGGCUGUAAUCACAAGUAACAGCUAAGAUAGGAAACACAAGAGUAUAUUUAGACAAACUUUGGGACUGUCAACUUACGUUUGUAUCCUCCAGCAAUGCCAGACUGUGUCAGACAUCUCUGCAAUUCAUCAGCAUCUAUCUGCCCAUCCUUUUGAAAAAAAAUUAGAGGAAUCAUAAUAGUGAUUUGUACUUUCAAGUUGUUUACCUUCAGCAUUCAAUGAAGCAAUAACAACAAAGAAAAUCAGUAUCUUUUUUUUAUUUAAAAGGAAUGCCUUUUUUUUAUUAAAAGGAAUGCCUUCCAAAAGUGGGCAUUCUUUUCCUUAACCCACUUCCAAAAGUAAUUUAAUGAUGAAAGAAAGAGUCUGUCUUGGCAACUACUCUUCUCUCAAUCUGAGCUAGCAAACUGCUACAGCUAAACAUUUUAAAAUAUUUUUUUUUGAUGGGGGUGGAGAGAGCAAGGUACAAAGCAGACAUCAAUAAAUAGAAGGCUUGGUUCAAACAGAAAAAGGCCUCCUUGGUCACUUUUUCUUAUGAUAUAGUGAAUCAUUUUUUUCAGAGCACAAAUACAUCUGGAAGAUUCACAUUAGGUUCCCAGUGCCCAUUCACUGGCUGAACUGGGAAAGAACUAGAUAUAUGUGAUUUUUAGGGACUUUAAAAUAAAAUACCUAAAUCUUCAAGUCACUGGGUAUUAUAAGUUAUAAAUGAGGAGCAAGAUCAGCAAUUUGAAAGACAAUGGGUAUGCUGAAUACAGGCCAGGGCUGCUGAAAGCUAAGCAGGUGGAGUCACUUACAUGCUGGAGGCACUGGCAAUCUAAGAAUGCUAGUCUUGAGGUUUGCCAUGCCUUGUGGUUUCAAAGAUACAGAUCAUUAACAGUUUAAGUAGAUACUUAAGGGGAAGGUCUUCCAGUUUUAGACUAUAUUUUCCAUUCAAUUUCUUAAGCUGUAUUUCUUAGAGUACUACCUUAAAAGUGGUCUUAGGUUUUUUAUCCCAUAAUAUUCUACAGUUUUCACAUUAAGAUUUUGCUAUUUCUAGCUUUUGGUCAAAACAAAACUAGGUUGAAUUCAUAAGAACAAACAUCUCCUCUGGACGUGUCUGGGUUAUACCAACAGUAUAUUUACUGCACACAGUGACCUCAUGAACUAGGGAAGUGUCCUCUCUCAAUGUAAGAUAGCACCUGUCAAUGUAAGAUAGCACCUGUCAUACAACUCAGAAUGCAGACAAGUGAAAGGUCUUGGGGAGCUGACCUUAAUUGCUUCUCUGGGUCAACAGGCCAGAACACCUAAUAAGGACAUGGAGGGGCUGACCUAGUAACAGCAUCUGCAUCAAAGAGAAACUACACUGUUCACAAGAUUAACUUUCUGAUACUAAGAAGGGAACAGUA